GCCGAGGUGGCGGAAUAGGCAGACGCGCCGCCUUGAGGGGGCGGUGCCCGCAAGGGCGUGCGGGUUCAAAUCCCGCCCUCGGCACCA
Molecule: transfer RNA, 87 nt
Filed under: Dehalococcoidia bacterium
Lineage: Bacteria; Bacillati; Chloroflexota; Dehalococcoidia
Description: tRNA-Leu
Rfam family: tRNA
About the family: Transfer RNA (tRNA) molecules are approximately 80 nucleotides in length.
Source: RNAcentral